RNAcentral lists this long non-coding RNA (224 nucleotides) under Elaeis guineensis (African oil palm). Its description in RNAcentral is "long non-coding RNA (EGUI_LNC011787)". The record is from RNAcentral. Lineage: Eukaryota; Viridiplantae; Streptophyta; Magnoliopsida; Arecales; Arecaceae.
UGUCUGUGUACUCUCAUAGAGUGAUAUUUAGGUGAAAGAAGUUCUCCAAUUCAUUAAAGGUGAUGUCCUUCCUCUACAAUAUGGGCAAGCAUCUUUCAUCCUUGAGGACGAAUUUCUAAUUGCUUGAAAAACUUUGACCGUAGCUGUCUAUCCACUUUACUAUUUUGAGACGAACACAUCUUUUCAUGUGUCCUUUGUCUAAGAAGCAAAUGUUUUCUUCCUCC